CCUACGGGUGGCAGCAGUGAGGAAUAUUGGUCAAUGGACGAGAGUCUGAACCAGCCAAGUAGCGUGAAGGAUGACUGCCCUAUGGGUUGUAAACUUCUUUUAUAUGGGAAUAAAAUGUUCCACGUGUGGGCUUUUGUAUGUACCAUAUGAAUAAGGAUCGGCUAACUCCGUGCCAGCAGCCGCGGUAAUACGGAGGAUCCGCGCGUUAUCCGGAUUUAUUGGGUUUAAAGGGAGCGUAGGCUGAUUGUUAAGUCAGUUGUGAAAGUUUGCGGCUCAACCGUAAAAUUGCAGUUGAAACUGGCAGUCUUGAGUACAGUAGAGGUGUGCGGAAUUCGUGGUGUAGCGGUGAAAUGCUUAGAUAUCACGAAGAACUCCGAUUGCGAAGGCAGCUCACUGGACUGCAACUGACACUGAGGCUCGAAAGUGUGGGUAUCAAACAGGAGUAGAUACCCGAGUAGUC
RNAcentral lists this ribosomal RNA (460 nucleotides) under uncultured bacterium. RNAcentral's name for it is "partial 16S ribosomal RNA". It matches the Rfam family "Bacterial small subunit ribosomal RNA", at positions 338 to 795 of the family's 1533-position model. The record is from RNAcentral.